RNAcentral lists this ribosomal RNA (252 nucleotides) under uncultured bacterium. RNAcentral describes it as "partial 16S ribosomal RNA". It matches the Rfam family "Bacterial small subunit ribosomal RNA", at positions 524 to 776 of the family's 1533-position model. The record is from RNAcentral.
UACGUAGGUGGCAAGCGUUGUCCGGAUUUAUUGGGCGUAAAGCGAGCGCAGGUGGUUUAUUAAGUCUGGUGUAAAAGGCAGUGGCUCAACCAUUGUAUGCAUUGGAAACUGGUAGACUUGAGUGCAGGAGAGGAGAGUGGAAUUCCAUGUGUAGCGGUGAAAUGCGUAGAUAUAUGGGGGAACACCGGUGGCGAAAGCGGCUCUCUGGCCUGUAACUGACACUGAGGCUCGAAAGCGUGGGGAGCAAACAGG